Molecule: unclassified non-coding RNA, 354 nt
Filed under: uncultured fungus
Lineage: Eukaryota; Fungi
Description: sequence contains ITS1
Rfam family: 5.8S ribosomal RNA (bases 1-105)
Source: RNAcentral
GAAAUGCGAUACGCAAUGCGAAUUGCAGAAUUCCGCGAAUCAUCAGAUUCUUGAACGCAACUGGCGCUGGAGGGAUAUCCUUUCAGCAUGUCUGUUUCAGUGUCUGAUAACCUCACAACUAAACAUAAUGUGUUUGACAAGGACUGAUCUAUUAUAUAGAUUGGAUAUCUGAGUCUUACAUGAAAGAUGUAUGUGUGGGUCUUUGGAUCCAUCGAAUUGGUCACUGAUUCUUCGGUGAUUUCGAUUGGAUUAUCCAAUUACCUGUAUGCACAUAGAACUGAUGGUUGUUUUCAAUCGUCAUUCAUUCUCCAACAUCUGCAUCUGAAAUCAGGCAAGAACACCCGCUGAACUUAA